GAUGAACGCUAGCGGCAGGCUUAACACAUGCAAGUCGAGGGGUAUAGUAGCAAUACUAGAGACCGGCGCACGGGUGCGUAACGCGUAUGCAACCUACCUUUUACAGAGGGAUAGCCCCAGAGAAAUUUGGAUUAAUACCUCAUAGUGUUAUUAGAUGGCAUCAUUUGAUAACUAAAGUUCCAACGGUAAAGAUGGGCAUGCGUCCUAUUAGCUAGAUGGUAAGGUAACGGCUUACCAUGGCUACGAUAGGUAGGGGUCCUGAGAGGGAGAUCCCCCANACUGGUACUGAGACACGGACCAGACUCCUACGGGAGGCAGCAGUGAGGAAUAUUGGACAAUGGGCGCAAGCCUGAUCCAGCCAUGCCGCGUGCAGGAAGAAGCAUCUAUGGUGUGUAAACUGCUUUUUGUACGGGAAGAAACACUCCUACGUGUAGGAGCUUGACGGUACCGUAAGAUAAGGAUCGGCUAACUCCGUGCCAGCAGCCGNGGU
This 490-nucleotide ribosomal RNA is filed under the name uncultured bacterium. Its description in RNAcentral is "bacterial SSU rRNA". It matches the Rfam family "Bacterial small subunit ribosomal RNA", at positions 28 to 521 of the family's 1533-position model. The record is from RNAcentral.